CAGUAGCCGCGGGAAUACGAAGGGGGCUAGCGUUGUUCGGAUUAACUGGGCGUAAAGGGCGCGUAGGCGGGUUUUUAAGUCAGAGGUGAAAUCCCAAGGCUCAACCUUGGAACUGCCUUUGAUACUGGAAGUCUUGAGUCCGGGAGAGGUGAGUGGAACUGCGAGUGUAGAGGUGAAAUUCGUAGAUAUUCGCAAGAACACCAGUGGCGAAGGCGGCUCACUGGCCCGGUACUGACGCUGAGGCGCGAAAGCGUGGGGAGCAAACAGGAUUAGAUACCCCGGUAGUCCCUGUCUCUUAUAA
RNAcentral lists this ribosomal RNA (301 nucleotides) under uncultured bacterium. RNAcentral's name for it is "partial 16S ribosomal RNA". It matches the Rfam family "Bacterial small subunit ribosomal RNA", at positions 509 to 809 of the family's 1533-position model. The record is from RNAcentral.